This 97-nucleotide non-coding RNA is filed under the name bovine gut metagenome. The record is from RNAcentral.
GCCCUCUGGGGAGCUCGCGCGGGGCGGGCUGAGAGGAGGCGCGAAUCGCCUCGACCCUUUGAACCUGUCGGGAUAAUGCCUGCGAAGGGAGAUCGGU